UGCAAGUCGAACGAACCUUCGGGUUAGUGGCGGACGGGUGAGUAACGCGUGAGAAUCUGCCCUCAGGAGGGGGACAACAGUUGGAAACGACUGCUAAUACCCCAUAUGCCGUGAGGUGAAAUGAAUUUCGCCUGAGGAUGAGCUCGCGUCUGAUUAGCUAGUUGGUGUAGGUAAUGGCUCACCAAGGCAUCGAUCAGUAGCUGGUCUGAGAGGAUGAUCAGCCACACUGGGACUGAGACACGGCCCAGACUCCUACGGGAGGCAGCAGUGGGGAAUUUUCCGCAAUGGGCGAAAGCCUGACGGAGCAACGCCGCGUGAGGGAUGAAGGCCUCUGGGCUGUAAACCUCUUUUAUCAAGGAAGAAGAUCUGACGGUACUUGAUGAAUAAGCCACGGCUAAUUCCGUGCCAGCAGCCGCGGUAAUACGGGAGUGGCAAGCGUUAUCCGGAAUUAUUGGGCGUAAAGCGUCCGCAGGCGGCCCUUCAAGUCUGCUGUUAAAAAGUGGAGCUUAACUCCAUCAUGGCAGUGGAAACUGUUGGGCUUGAGUGUGGUAGGGGCAGAGGGAAUUCCCGGUGUAGCGGUGAAAUGCGUAGAUAUCGGGAAGAACACCAGUGGCGAAGGCGCUCUGCUGGGCCAUCACUGACGCUCAUGGACGAAAGCCAGGGGAGCGAAAGGGAUUAGAUACCCCUGUAGUCCUGGCCGUAAACGAUGAACACUAGGUGUCGGGGGAAUCGACCCCCUCGGUGUCGUAGCCAACGCGUUAAGUGUUCCGCCUGGGGAGUACGCACGCAAGUGUGAACUCAAAGGAAUUGACGGGGCCCGCACAAGCGGUGGAGUAUGUGUUUAAUUCGAUGCAACGCGAGAACUUUACCAGGUUUGACAUCCUUCGAAUCUCUUGAAACAGGAGAGUGCCUUCGGGAACGCAGUGACAGGUGGUGCAUGCCUGUCGUCAGCCUCGUGUCGUGAGAUGUGGGUAAGUCCCGCAACGAGCCGCAACCUACGUCUUUAGUGCCAGCAUUUAGUUGGGCACUCUAGAGAGAACUGCCGUGACAACCGAGAGUGGGAUGACGUCAGGUCAUCAUGCCCUACAUCCUGCUACACGUUACUACAUGCUACGGCAGGCAGCAGUCGAAGAACAGCAAUCCUAACCGUGUCCAGUUCAUCGAGCUGCCACUCGCCUACUGGAGGGGGAAUGCUAGUAAUCCCGAGCUCCACAUACUGUGAU
Molecule: ribosomal RNA, 1223 nt
Filed under: uncultured Synechococcus sp.
Lineage: Bacteria; Bacillati; Cyanobacteriota; Cyanophyceae; Synechococcales; Synechococcaceae
Description: partial 16S ribosomal RNA
Rfam family: Bacterial small subunit ribosomal RNA
Source: RNAcentral